Oreochromis aureus is the source of this 1257-nucleotide long non-coding RNA. Lineage: Eukaryota; Metazoa; Chordata; Actinopteri; Cichliformes; Cichlidae. The record is from Ensembl.
GCUCAGUAUCACUCUUUGAAUUUGAGCAGUUUAAAGAAGUCAAACCUAAAUCAGACAGACUGAGUCUUUCUGCAGACUGUUCUCUGGUUAUAAAGAAGGUCACAGAUCAGGAUGUUGGUCGUUACACCUGCAGACAGUACAAAAAUGCAACAGGACCACAAGAAGGUCCAGACUUUAUGAUUCAUCUGUCUGUUAUUAACAGUGAAGAUGUGACAACAACCAAAUUAGCAAAAUCAACAAUUAAACCAACAUCAAAAAUAACAAACAUGUGGACAAGAAAAGAUGAAAUAAAGACAUCAGCAGGGACACUGACAACAGCAUCAAAUAUUCCAUCUGGCGUUCUCUCAGGGUUUAUCAUCGUUUCUGUGGGUUUAGCAGCACUCUUAAUAACUGUUGUGGUGAUCAUCAGAUGGAAGAAAACCAAAGAAAAUGAAACAAAAUGUGGCAACAACACUGAACUGAGCUUAAACUCUGCAGAUGCUCAGUCUGGGACCAGUCAGGACACUGUGAGAUCACACACUACUCCCAGUACAAAGUUACACUCAGUGUUAUGUUUAGUUUCAACAGAGAAAAGUAGAAACUAGGAUGUGAUGAGGAGCUGAAUUUACUUAAACAGAUGUGAAGCAGACUCAUUAUAAAUCCACAUAUUACUGAGCAGUCAUUGUGUUGUAUUCACUGUGCAGGGUGAUGCUGAUGAUGGUGUUCCCUACGCCUCCAUCAGCUUCACCAAGAAGACCAAGAAUAAAUCCAGGUCCCGUGGUGAUCAUGAUGAUGAUGAUGAUGACACUGUGACCUACAGCACUGUGAAAGCUUCUUCCUCACCUGCUGGAGUUUCCACUGAUCCCAACAACCUCUACUCCACCAUCAACUACCCAAAGACAUAGGAUGUUUCUCAUGCUAAGUUUUUUUAACUAUAUAUAAUUUUUUUCACUUCACUGAUUAGUUUUGGUAACUCUGGGUCAAAUAUUAAGCCUGAUUCUGUUUACUUAAGAAUACAAAGACUGCAGGAUUCCUAAAUUAGAUUUUUGCUUCAUACCACUGCAUGUGCUCAUAGAUUCAGUAUAUUACUUUGAAUAAGGUGAAUAUUAUUACAUUAAAAUUCAGCUUAAGGUUUCUUAAAUUGUUUCAAGUGGGUUUUUUCGAUGAUCCAAUUUUAGAAGUAGAAUAUGAAAACAAGCAAACCAAUAACUAAAACAAGACGAAGCCAAAAGUUUUUCAUAGUAUAUGGAUAAAAAUAACAUGUCUGUUUGCACAUGC